GACGGAAGGUGCAAGCGUUGCUCGGAAUUACUGGGCGUAAAGGGCUCGUAGGCGGCCAACUAAGUCAGACGUGAAAUCCCCAGGCUCAACCUGGGAACUGCGUCUGAUACUGGAUGGCUUGAAUCCGGGAGAGGGAUGCAGAAUUCCAGGUGUAGCGGUGAAAUGCGUAGAUAUCUGGAGGAAUACCGGUGGCGAAGGCGGCAUCCUGGACCGGCAUUGACGCUGAGGAGCGAAAGCCAGGGGAGCAAACGGG
RNAcentral lists this ribosomal RNA (253 nucleotides) under uncultured bacterium. RNAcentral's name for it is "partial 16S ribosomal RNA". It matches the Rfam family "Bacterial small subunit ribosomal RNA", at positions 524 to 776 of the family's 1533-position model. The record is from RNAcentral.